GAUGAAGAACGCAGCGAAAUGCGAUAAGUAAUGUGAAUUGCAGAAUUCAGUGAAUCAUCGAAUCUUUGAACGCACAUUGCGCCCGCCAGUAUUCUGGCGGGCAUGCCUGUUCGAGCGUCAUUUCAACCAUCAAGCCCCAGGCUUGUGUUGAGGACCUGCGGCUGCCGCAGGCCCUGAAAACCAGUGGCGGGCUCGCUGUCACACCGGGCGUAGUAGAUUUUAUCUCGCUCAGGGCGUGCUGCGGGUUCCGGCCGUUAAAAAGCCUUUUUUACCCAAGGUUGACCUCGGAUCAGGUAGGAAUACCCGCUGAACUUAAGCAUAUCAAUAAGCGGAGGA
Molecule: unclassified non-coding RNA, 336 nt
Filed under: soil metagenome
Description: partial contains 5.8S ribosomal RNA, internal transcribed spacer 2, and large subunit ribosomal RNA
Rfam family: 5.8S ribosomal RNA (bases 1-120)
Source: RNAcentral